Molecule: non-coding RNA, 74 nt
Organism: Potamilus streckersoni
Lineage: Eukaryota; Metazoa; Mollusca; Bivalvia; Unionida; Unionidae
Source: the annotation of a GenBank genome assembly
GCUAGAGUGGCCUAAGUGGUUAGAGCGGCCGCCUCGGACGCGGGAGGUCUCGGGUUCGUACCCCGGCUGAGGUA